Molecule: non-coding RNA, 984 nt
Organism: Eimeria mitis
Lineage: Eukaryota; Apicomplexa; Conoidasida; Eucoccidiorida; Eimeriidae
Source: Rfam
GUGAUGGCCGUUUUGCAGUGGGGUGCGUUUAGUGUGUGGAGAUGUCAUGAAUGAUUUGGGAGUGCCGAUGGAGUCAUAUUAGUUUUAUCAGGUAAAGCGAAUGAGUAGAGGCCGGGGGGGAGCGUUGCCCUCCACCUAGUCUCAAACGUUAAAUGGGUAAGAUCCAGUGGUUACUUCAUUGAACUGCUAGGAUUAAUAUGAACUCCAAGUGGGCCAUUUUCGGUAAGCAGAACUGGCGAUGAGGGAUGCUCCUAACGCUUGGUUAAGGUGCCUAAAUACUCGCUCAUCAGACACCAUAAAAGGUUUUGGUUCAUUUUGACAGCAGGACGGUGGUCAUGGAAGUAGAAAUCCGCUAAGAAGUGUGUAACAACUUACCUGCCGAAUGAACCAGCCCUGAAAAUGGAUGGCGCUGCAGCGGGUUACCGAUACCAGGCCAUUAUCGCAAGUCUUUGGACACUCGACGUUUCGCGGUAAUGAGUAGGAAGACGUGGGGAUCGUAGCGAAGCACUCGGCGUGAGCCUGUGCGGAACGGUCUCUAGUGCAGAUCUUGGUGGCAGUAGAAAAUAUUCAAAUGAGAACUUUGAAGACUGAAGUGGAGAAGGGUUUCAUGUGAACAGCAAUUGGACAUGGGUUAGCCGGUCCUAAGCGACAGCUUAACUGCGUGAAUUUCGUGGCUUUUUGCCCCGUAUUUCGCGAAAGGGAAUCAGGAUAAUAUUCCUGAGCCAGGACGUGGAUACUGUACGGUAACGUAAAUGAACUCCUCGACGCAGGCGGGUGCCCCGGGAAGCGUUGUCUUUGCUUCUUAACAACCUCUUUAAACAUACCCUGGAAUCAGAUUAUCUGGAGAUAAUCUGAUUCCAAACUCAUAGUAAGGCGUAUGCCUUCAACGUUAUUCCUCAGGUUCUCAGUGUACACAACAUAUAUGCUUUGGAACGCUGAGGCGCCUGGCAUCUCUGAACCCUACUCAUAGGCAAGCAAGGACGU